AUACGUUUUAUUUUGAACGUCAUUAUUGCAAGUACCUGCAUUUCCAUUAGGUUCAAUAAUGUCCAUGUUGAGAAUGAUAAUGUUACAUAAUGUUUUUUUAGACGAGAAAAAUGCUUCUCAGAAUGAUAAUUUCUUCCGCGACAUGUUGACAAACUCUAUGGUCGAUCUACAGAGUGUAAAAACUCAUUAAUGUUACAAAAACGUCGACUGACACUGCAACGAGACAACUAUAAUUGUCAGAUGCUAUAGCAUUGGAGACAAAAAAAAGAUACAUUGGAACGACUAACAAUAGGGCCGCAGCGAUAAAUAACGACUUUAAUUUACUUAUAUUUAAAUAAUUAUAAGCUAACACAAUACUGUAAGUAUUGGCAUUAAUUUAUUAAAAAUAUAACACAAAUUAAUUUAUUGUUACAACAAACAAAAUAACAGCAAUGAAAAAUUUUAGGCAAUAAAUGUAAUAAAAAUAUUAUUUGAAUUAUAACAAUAUCAUUACAAAUUUUAAUUUAAUUUUUUCAACAUUAAUUUUAUUAUGACCUUACCCUCAAGCGUAGUGUGUUUCAAGUUUUUCCUAUUUCUUUAUAUUCUUGUAUACCUUAAUGCGUCCCUGUUCUUGAUGUAUAUCCCUAGUUUAAAAAGUUUCUGAAUUGUACCUCGUAACUAUUGAUCGUUACGUAUAACAUUUUCUUGCGCUUGAAAUUUAAUACUUUUCUUUCAUAUUAUAUCCUUCUCUUCUAACCAAUCAGCGAUGGAUCAUGCGCAUUCUGCUUGCGAGGGAGUUGCCAUUCUCUACCAUCACGGGAACUCUUCGACUGCGCGUUUUAUUUAUGGUAGUAUCUUAUGAUAGCGUGACGGUAACAAGUGCUUUGCGUUAUCGUGCUCGAAUAUAAGAGAAAUAAUUAUCAGGUUUUAAUAUUUAAAUUGUUAAUUAUUUUUGCGGUCAAAAUUAUGCGUGUAAUGAGUUUGCGUAUUAAAAAAAGUAUGAGAUUGAUAAUAAUUAUACAAAUAAUUUUGUAACGUAUAGAUUUGAUUAUCUUACUAACAAUAAGUAAUAGUGUUACUGAUGUUGUUUCUCUCGCGCGCAGCAAAGUGUUUACAAAAAAAUAAUAUCACAAUUUCAUAUUGCUACUGCUGGUAUUUUCUCAUCAAAUGAAUGAAUUUCACCAACGAAAAGGAUGAUGGCAAUGACGAAUGUCACGUACGAGAAAAAUGCUUCUCAGAAUGGUAAUUUCUUCCGUGACAUGUUGGCAAGCUCUAUGGUCGAUCUACAGAGUGUAAAAACUCAUUAAUGUUACAAAAACGUCGACUGACACUGCAACGAGACAACUAUAAUUGUCAGAUGCUAUAGCAUUGGAGAUAAAAAAAAGAUACAUUGGAACGACUAACAACAGGGCCGCAGCGAUAAAUAACGACUUUAAUUUACUUAUAUUUAAAUAAUUAUAAGCUAACACAAUACUGUAAGUAUUGGCAUUAAUUUAUUAAAAAUAUAACACAAAUUAAUUUAUUGUUACAACAAACAAAAUAACAGCAAUGAAAAAUUUUAGGCAAUAAAUGUAAUAAAAAUAUUAUUUGAAUUAUAACAAUAUCAUUACAAAUUUUAAUUUAAUUUUUUCAACAUUAAUUUUAUUAUGAGCUUACCCGCAAGCGUAGUGUGUUUCAAGUUUUUCCUAUUUCUUUAUAUUCUUGUAUACCUUAAUGCAUCCCUGUUCUUGAUGUAUAUCCUUAGUUUAAAAAGUUUCUGAAUUGUACCUCGUAACUAUUGAUCGAUACGUAUAACAUUUUCUUGCGCUUGAAAUUUAAUACUUUCGUCUCAUAUCAUCCUUCUCUUCUAACCAACCACCGAUGGAUCAUGCGCAUUCUGCUUGCGAGGGUGUUGCCAUUCUCUACCAUCACGGGAACUCUUCGACUGCGCGUUUUAUUUAUGGCAGUAUCUUAUGAUAGCGUGACGGUGACAGGUGCUUUGCGUUAUCGUGCUCGAAUAUAAGAGAAAUAAUUAUCAAGUUUUAAUAUUUAAAUUGUUAAUUAUUUUGACGGUCAAAAUUAUGCGUGUAAUGAGUUUGCGUAUUAAAAAAAGUAUGAGAUUGAUUAAAAUUAUACAAAUAAUUUUGUAACGUAUAGAUCUAAUUAUCUUACUAACAAUAGUAAUAGUGCUACUGAUGUUGUUUCUCUCGCGCGCAACAAAGUGUUUACAAAAAAAUAAUAUCACAAUUUCAUAUUGCUACUGUUGGUAUUUUCUCAUCAAAUGAAUACGAGAAAAAUGCUUCUCAGAAUGGUAAUUUCUUCCGCGACAUGUUGGCAAACUCUAUGGUCGAUCUACAGAGUGUAAAGAAUCAUUAAUGUUACAAAAACGUCGACUGACACUGCAACGAGACAACUAUAAUUGUCAGAUGCUAUAGCAUUGGAGACAAAAAAAAGAUACAUUGGAACGACUAACAAUAGGGCCGCAGCGAUAAAUAACGACUUUAAUUUACUUAUAUUUAAAUAAUUAUAAGCUAACACAAUACUGUAAGUAUUGGCAUUAAUUUAUUAAAAAUAUAACACAAAUUAAUUUAUUGUUACAACAAACAAAAUAACAGCAAUGAAAAAUUUUAGGCAAUAAAUGUAAUAAAAAUAUUAUUUGAAUUAUAACAAUAUCAUUACAAAUUUUAAUUUAAUUUUUUCAACAUUAAUUUUAUUAUGAGCUUACCCUCAAGCGUAGUGUGUUUCAAGUUUUUCCUAUUUCUUUAUAUUCUUGUACACCUUAAUGCGUCCCUGUUCUUGAUGUAUAUCCCUAGUUUAAAAAGUUUCUGAAUUGUACCUCGUAACUAUUGAUCGAUACGUAUAACAUUUUCUUGCGCUUGAAAUUUAAUACUUUCCUUUUAUAUUAUAUCCUUCUCUUCUAACCAAUCAGCUAUGGAUCAUGCGCAUUCUGCUUGUGAGGGUGUGCCAUUCUUUACCAUCAUGGGAACUCUUCGACUGCCCUUGCGCGCGUUAUUUACGGCAGUAUCUUAUGAUAGCGUGACGGUGACAGGUGCUUUGCGUUAUCGUGCUCAAAUAUAAGAAAAAUAAUCAUUAGGUUUUUAUAUAUUAGUUAUUAUCUUUGAGGUCAAAAUUAUGCGUGUAAUGAGUUUGCAUAUUAAAAAAAGUAUGAGAUUGAUAUUAAUUAUGCAAAUAAUUUUGUAACGUAUAGAUCUGAUUAUUUUACUAACAAUAAGUAAUAGUGUUACUGAUGUUUCUCUCGCGCGCAAUUAAGUGUUUACAAAAAAAUAAUAUCACAAUUUCAUAUUCAACUGGUAUUUUUUCAUCAAAUAAAAGCGAGGUUUCGUCAACAGUAGCAUAAAUGAAAGAGAAUUGUUGCAUUCACGAUGUGUAGGACAAACGUCCAGGACAACAUGCGUGGCCUGCUUUCAUUGUUUCGCAAAAAGUUAAUUUGUCGAGCCACAUGGUACUUGCGAUGCCGAAACCACGUAUGUAUGUACGAGUACGUUGGUCCGCUUUACCAAAGAGCCGCCUUUAUGUCGCUCGCCCGUUGCGCUUUAUCAAAUCUCACUUCAUUCGCGGGAUUCCCGUUUCGCGAUGUCUAUGACGGAUUUUUAAUUCUCCACGAGGAAUCUCCCUCCCUUUUGGAUUCGCGCGCAAUCAUCGAAUGACUGCGUUUCCGCGGAUUUUCAUGAAAUAACGAGACACGUGGCUUGUUGCGUUUUUGAACUACGUCGAGUUUUUGCUUGAAACGGUGGAUUGCUCUGCAAAAAAAUAAAAAAAAAACAGUAUACGUACCAUAUGUAAACAAACAGGCGGCAUUUUUUUUUUGCUGUGCCCUAUAGUUUUGACUAAUUUAUGCAUAUUUUUUAAUUAUUCUUUUUAGCCUUGCUCAUAUAACAUUAUUAGGAGAGCGAUGUCUAUAUUUUUUAUAUAGAGUUUUGCUCAACUUACUGCUCAAGUGCAAUAUUAUGUUGAUUGUUGUAAUUUUCAUGUGAUAAAAUUCGCUUUUUCUUCUAUUUCUUUGCCAAAUUUCAACUUGUUCGAACAAUGGCAACCUGUGUCGCUGGCUCGUUAAAUAUUUGAGUUCCUUUGUAUUAAGCUUUCAAUUUGGUUUCCACAAAAAUCGAUCUAAAAAACUUUUCUUUUUUUUAUAUGUGUACCUUAGUUUUUUGAAACGUUUGAGGUCUUAUACACCUUAUUUAAACAAUUAAAUGAAUUGUUAAUGAUUAAAACAAAAAUAAAUAGUUAUUAUGUUUUUCGAUUUUUUGAGCUGGUAAAAUGAUUCAUGGAUUGAAAAAGUAUUAUUAGUAUGUUUGGAAGCAAAAUAAAUGUCAAACAUGUAUUUUACCUAUUUUUAUUAAUAAAGUGGUUUGUUACAGUUAACAUUACAAAAUAACUAAUAAUUGUGUUAUAAAUGUAAUUGUUAGUCGUUGACACCAUCUUCAAUAAGUCCAAGUCACUACUUAUACAUAACGAAACUUGUAGCAAUGUUCUAAAAAUAUUGUACUUUACUCAGGAUCAAUAUGCGCCACCGUUAUUAAACGGAUACGGAAAGAAUUUUACUUCUCAUAAUUAAAAAAAUUAUGAGAUAAAAAAAGAAGCAGUGUUGGAGAAUUUUCUGGUGUUAAUUUUUUACUCUUGAUGUCUUAAUAGUGAAAUUUUCCUUAUUCGUUAUUAUGCACUAUUUGUUAUAAUAACUUUAAAAAAUAAUUUGCGUGACAAGAUAUAAAAAAUUAUUUCCAGCAAAUUAUUGGAAGUAAAUUGCUAUCCAUUAAACAAGUUUUAAGUGUGCUGUUUCACAAUUUUUGAUUAGUAAAAAUCAAUAUAUGGGAUAGUGCAGGAUUGAUGAUACAAGAAGUGAGAAAUUUGAGAAAUUAGGAACAGCUUGAGCUUAGCUUCUUCAAUAUUUCGAUUCUUCGUACAAAGCUUUUAAUUUAGCAAAGCAAUGCUUUACUUCUCUAGUUAGGAUUCUCGUUUUCUCUCGGAAAAUUAGCACACGUCUUGUAUCAUCAAUCUUCCAUUAUCCCAUACACUUAAUUUUACUAAUCAAAAAUUAUAAAAUAGCAAACUUAAAACUUGUUUAAUAGAUGGCAAUUUAUUUCCAAUAAUUUGCUUGGAUUAAUUUUUUAUAAAAUACAUCAGAUUCUGAUUUAUGCAAAUUAUUUCUUCAAUUUCUUUAUUAUGCAUAAUAUCGAAUAAAAACUAUUUUACUAUUAAUUUCAAGAGCAAAGAAUUAAAGCAGGAAAAUUCUUUAACGAUGCGUUUUUUAUUCUAUCUUAUAAUUUUUUAAUUAUGAAAAGCAAAACUCUUUCUUUGUGUUUGUCUAAUGACGUGUAUUACUCGUAAAUAAAGUACAGUAUACAAUAUUUUUGGAAUGUUGCUGCAAACUUUGUUUUGUAUAAGUAAUGAUUUGGAUUUAUUCAAGAUGGUGUCAACGACUAGCAAUCAUAUUUAUAAUUAUUAGUUAUUUUGUAAUAUUAAAUGUAAAAAACAGCUUUUUUUAAUAAAAACAUAUAAAAUUAGUCUCGUUCGACAUUUAUUUUAUCCCUCAAAUAUACUAAUAAUUCUCUUUCAAUUUAUGGACCAAUUUUAUCCGCUCAAAAAAUCAAGAAACGUAAUAAUUAUUUAUUUUUGUUUUAAUCAUUAACAAUUCACCUAAUUGUUUAAAUAAGACGUAUAAGAUUUCAAACGAUGCAGAACAUCAAGCAUACAUAUAAAACAAAAGAAAAGCAAACUUACCUGCGCUCCAUAUAACUUAUUUGAGUGAAGCCAGUAAGUCAUCUCUUAUGGUAAAGAGUUGUUCAAACCAUUAAUAAUUACCUUGUAUAUAUUUACAUAUAUGAUUAUACUACAGAUUCCAUAGCGCAUAAGCAUACCGCGUUUUAUUAUAAGUUUAUUUUAAUGGUUUGUUUUAGUGUUUAGCAUGGCAAGUUAUCAGGCUAAGUGUUUUAAAAGAGUAAAACAAAGGAUGCGAUGUAUGUAUACUUAUAUGGACUUUAAAGUUAUACUUACUGAAAUAGUAACGUCUAUCAAGUUUUGUAAAAAUUGUGUCUAUUAUUCUAAUAUUAAUUAUAAUUAUUUUGUGUUACUAUAAAAAUAUAAUUUUAUUCUAAUAUUUUAUCAUUUUAUUGCAAUUUUAUAACUGUAUACAAUUUGUAUUAUACUUUUAUGCAUUAUAUUUGUUUUCUAUUAUAAUAAAUUAUAAAAAGUAUCACUUAAAAUUUCUUAAAACGAUCGAAGUUAACAAGCGUUAAAAACUUAAAACAAGUUAAAAACUUUAAAUAUUUGGCAAUAGAGAAUUGUAUAGAGGAGAAGAGAGGUAAUAUGCCUCCCAUUUUUAUUGUAUUGAAUAACUUUGUUUAUAAUUAAUAUUUUCUAUUGAAAAUU
This is a long non-coding RNA of Solenopsis invicta (red fire ant), 6345 nucleotides long. RefSeq lists it as uncharacterized. The record is from RefSeq and is a predicted model, not a curated record. NCBI's taxonomy places the organism in Eukaryota, Metazoa, Arthropoda, Insecta, Hymenoptera, Formicidae. The transcript is spliced from 5 exons.